RNAcentral lists this ribosomal RNA (251 nucleotides) under uncultured bacterium. RNAcentral describes it as "partial 16S ribosomal RNA". It matches the Rfam family "Bacterial small subunit ribosomal RNA", at positions 526 to 779 of the family's 1533-position model. The record is from RNAcentral.
CGUAAGGACCGAGCGUUGUCCGGAAUCAUUGGGCGUAAAGGGUACGUAGGCGGCCACUUAAGUUAGAAGUCAAAGGCUAUAGCUCAACUAUAGUAAGCUUCUAAAACUGUGUGGCUUGAGAGAUGGAAGGGAAGUGGAAUUCCUAGUGUAGCGGUGAAAUGCGCAGAUAUUAGGAGGAAUACCGGUGGCGAAGGCGACUUUCUGGCCAUUAUCUGACGCUGAGGUACGAAAGCGUGGUAGCAAACAGGAUU